This 497-nucleotide ribosomal RNA is filed under the name uncultured bacterium. RNAcentral describes it as "partial 16S ribosomal RNA". It matches the Rfam family "Bacterial small subunit ribosomal RNA", at positions 28 to 507 of the family's 1533-position model. The record is from RNAcentral.
GAUGAACGCUGGCGGCGUGCCUAAUUCAUGCAAGUCGAGCGAACAGACGAGGAGCUUGCUCCUCUGACGUUAGCGGCGGACGGGUGAGUAACACGUGGAUAACCUACCUAUAAGACUGGGAUAACUUCGGGAAACCGGAGCUAAUACCGGAUAAUAUAUUGAACCGCAUGGUUCAAUAGUGAAAGACGGUUUUGCUGUCACUUAUAGAUGGAUCCGCGCCGCAUUAGCUAGUUGGUAAGGUAACGGCUUACCAAGGCAACGAUGCGUAGCCGACCUGAGAGGGUGAUCGGCCACACUGGAACUGAGACACGGUCCAGACUCCUACGGGAGGCAGCAGUAGGGAAUCUUCCGCAAUGGGCGAAAGCCUGACGGAGCAACGCCGCGUGAGUGAUGAAGGUCUUCGGAUCGUAAAGCUCUGUUAUUAGGGAAGAACAAAUGUGUAAGUAACUAUGCACGUCUUGACGGUACCUAAUCAGAAAGCCACGGCUAACUACGUG